This 300-nucleotide small RNA is filed under the name Cryptosporidium parvum. Lineage: Eukaryota; Apicomplexa; Conoidasida; Eucoccidiorida; Cryptosporidiidae. The record is from RNAcentral.
UAACACUGGAAGAUUAUGUAUAGAAACAAAAUCUGACCUUAUAUUAAAUGACAAUAUUUAAUCUUUUCCUGAUUAAUAGUGUUAAAGAUCGUCAAUCUAGAGUAAUGCUUUGAAGUACUUUGAAGUGAUGAUGUAUAUGUAUUUGCUACAUAAGACCGGAUAUACGCUCUAAAAAAGCAAAUAGUCGGGAUGAAAUAUUUUUCCACCGAGAUCUCUGAUCAUUGUAUUUCAACGUUUAACUCAAGAUGACUUUUUAUAAGUCUUUUAGAUUCUUUCCAUUUUGUUACAAUAUAAUAACUA